RNAcentral lists this ribosomal RNA (557 nucleotides) under uncultured bacterium. RNAcentral's name for it is "partial 16S ribosomal RNA". It matches the Rfam family "Bacterial small subunit ribosomal RNA", at positions 355 to 905 of the family's 1533-position model. The record is from RNAcentral.
UGGGGAAUUUUGGACAAUGGGGGAAACCCUGAUCCAGCCAUCCCGCGUGUGCGAUGAAGGCCUUCGGGUUGUAAAGCACUUUUGGCAGGAAAGAAACGUCGCGGGUUAAUACCCCGCGAAACUGACGGUACCUGCAGAAUAAGCACCGGCUAACUACGUGCCAGCAGCCGCGGUAAUACGUAGGGUGCAAGCGUUAAUCGGAAUUACUGGGCGUAAAGCGUGCGCAGGCGGUUCGGAAAGAAAGAUGUGAAAUCCCAGAGCUUAACUUUGGAACUGCAUUUUUAACUACCGGGCUAGAGUGUGUCAGAGGGAGGUGGAAUUCCGCGUGUAGCAGUGAAAUGCGUAGAUAUGCGGAGGAACACCGAUGGCGAAGGCAGCCUCCUGGGAUAACACUGACGCUCAUGCACGAAGGCGUGGGGAGCAAACAGGAUUAGAUACCCUGGUAGUCCACGCCCUAAACGAUGUCAACUAGCUGUUGGGGCCUUCGGGCCUUGGUAGCGCAGCUAACGCGUGAAGUUGACCGCCUGGGGAGUACGGUCGCAAGAUUAAAACUCAAA